ACGGGAACCACCUGGAAGGGGCAGGGGCGGUGGACACAGGUACAAGCAGCCAGAGGAGCCAUCAAGGAAAUUGUAGGAGAGACACUCAGCUUUUGGAGUGUCAUCUCUGAAGAGCCUGUAAAGCAUCCCUUGAGGGAAAACCCCCCAGCAUUUGAAAUACACGAUAUCUUGGGGGCUUCAAUGUCAAAUUACAACUGUCCUCCUCAAGUGAGACCCUUCCUGCCCAAGGCUGCCAUAUGCAUGUGAAAUCACUCCCUGGAGUUUUGCAGUGUGCAGCCUGCACCAUCACACAGGGCAGCAUGGCUUCUCACUGUUGCCUACUCCACCAUUGCAGGGGCCUGAAACAUCAACCAACAAGAGGGGGAGGGACAGCCAGUUUCUGCUAAAAUGCAGACUUAGCAUGGGCUCUGGCUGUCUUUCCAUAAAUCAACCUUGGAUAAAAGAGAAAAACCUGGAAUCAAGAAAACCACAAACAGGCAAAUAAAGAAGCCCCUGGGGAGAGGGGAAGGCCGAAGGCUGCUUUUGUUGGUGUGGGAGAGGUUGGGGGGAAGUGGUAGCUGGGGUGGCUGUGAGGGGGUAAGUUAAUUGAGAACAAAGCAAUUUAAGUUCUCCUCUUGCCUCCCUCAUCAGUGCAUAGGGAUAAUCAUCGCCCAAGACCAACAAUGGAGGUUGUCUGUGGGAGUGGAACCAGGGCAGCACCAAAGCCUUGCUGAGUGACGAGGAAAAAAAGUAGGAACAAGACAGGGAUGUCUACCACUACUACUACUGCAACAACUACUACUUCUAAACAACAUUGCACUGGAGGUCCAAAAAUAAUUGAAGACACAAGGAUUGGAAGAAGGAAAUAAAAACAUCAUUAUUUGUAAGCAGGGGAGGAGGGAGACCAAGAAAUAGAGAGAAAACUGAUCAUACCCCUCCUUCUUCAGCGCAGAUGUUCUGGUCUGAGACUGACCUGAGCCAAGAGAGGAGAGAAUUUGUAAUGAAUUCUGGAGUCCUAAUGUUAAACAGGACUAGACGCUUUACUACCUAAAAAAGAGGCUAUUGUUUAGCAGGGAAAGUGACUAAUCUAUAAGAGUUGCCAAAAAUGUCAGGAGCCAAGAGCAUUAAAAACACUAGAUGCUGUGAACAAAAAGGUCUGCUUUCUGAUUGCACCAUAAUAAGACAAGCUAAUUAAGUAUGCUGAUGAGAUGUUCACCCCCUGAUAUGAUAAAAGCAAGAGAGAGACAUGGAAGGGAGGCCAGGACCUGCUCUGCAACUUCCCUGCCCCAGUUCCCUCCAUCUCCUCCACACAGAGGAGCAGGAAACACAGGCAACUUCCCAACUCAAAGUAAACAAAGCCAAUACCUACCCUGCGUUCCUGGAAUUUACAAUCUAAGACAGCAUUGAUGUGAAGGGGCAUGUAAGGCUUAUGGACAACUAAACAAGCCUUUCCCAUUAAAACUGGAACCCAUUAAAGAAAAAGGGUAAGUGCAUUUGGCAGAAGGCAUGAGUGAACAAGGGGAAAAUGACAUGAUAGAAGGAAAGAAACUUGGCAGCGAGGCUGGAAAGGGAGCCACAGGGCAUGCUGGAGGAAGGCCUGUAGGGAAUUAGAUGAUCAAGGUAUUGAGUUAAUUGAUCUGUGCAGAUGAAAGUCAACUUUAUUUUUUGGCUAGAGUUAUCUGAUUCCUUGCAUUGAGUGGCAUUUGUUGUAUGAGAUUGUCUUCCUGAGUAAUACUGUAUCUUGGCAAGCUUGUAAAAUAUAGUUUUUAAACUUAAAAAAAAACACAUGGCUAUCAUAUCUUAGUUGCAACAGAAGAGCCAUAACCCAUGCUUUAUAGAGAAUCAGGUUUUUUUUUAAUUUCACAAAGGCAAUCAUGCUUUAUCAAAAGACAUUCUUUACUGCUUGAUAUUUUUAUUUAUUAAAAAACAAGUUUUCUAGCAAGGAAUCAGACAUUUGUAUACCAAUGUUUAUAGCAGCACCAUUCACAGUAGCCAAAUGGUGGGUGCAACUAAAAUGUCCACCGACCGAGGAAUGAAUAAGCAAAACAUGGUAUAUACAGACAACGGAAGGUGAUUCAGCCUUAGGAAGACAAUUCUAAAUGACAUAAGCA
RNAcentral lists this long non-coding RNA (2090 nucleotides) under Homo sapiens (human). Its description in RNAcentral is "HSALNT0253102". Lineage: Eukaryota; Metazoa; Chordata; Mammalia; Primates; Hominidae. The record is from RNAcentral.